This 492-nucleotide ribosomal RNA is filed under the name uncultured bacterium. Its description in RNAcentral is "partial 16S ribosomal RNA". It matches the Rfam family "Bacterial small subunit ribosomal RNA", at positions 29 to 507 of the family's 1533-position model. The record is from RNAcentral.
AGUGAACGCUGGCGGUAGGCCUAACACAUGCAAGUCGAACGGCAGCACAGUAAGAGCUUGCUCUUACGGGUGGCGAGUGGCGGACGGGUGAGGAAUACAUCGGAAUCUACUUUUUCGUGGGGGAUAACGUAGGGAAACUUACGCUAAUACCGCAUACGACCUACGGGGGAAAGCAGGGGAUCUUCGGACCUUGCGCGAUUGAAUGAGCCGAUGUCGGAUUAGCUAGUUGGCGGGGUAAAGGCCCACCAAGGCGACGAUCCGUAGCUGGUCUGAGAGGAUGAUCAGCCACACUGGAACUGAGACACGGUCCAGACUCCUACGGGAGGCAGCAGUGGGGAAUAUUGGACAAUGGGCGCAAGCCUGAUCCAGCCAUACCGCGUGGGUGAAGAAGGACUUCGGGUUGUAAAGCCCUUUUGUUGGGAAAGAAAAGCAGCAGGUUAAUACCCCGCUGUUCUGACGGUACCCAAAGAAUAAGCACCGGCUAACUUCGUG